Molecule: ribosomal RNA, 168 nt
Filed under: Limnias ceratophylli
Lineage: Eukaryota; Metazoa; Rotifera; Eurotatoria; Flosculariaceae; Flosculariidae
Description: 5.8S ribosomal RNA
Rfam family: 5.8S ribosomal RNA
About the family: 5.8S ribosomal RNA (5.8S rRNA) is a component of the large subunit of the eukaryotic ribosome. It is transcribed by RNA polymerase I as part of the 45S precursor that also contains 18S and 28S rRNA.
Source: RNAcentral
ACCCUAUGCGGUGGAUCACUAGGCUCGCGAGUCGAUGAAGAGCGCAGCAAAGUGCGUGAAUUAAUGUGAUUUGCAGGACACAUUGAUCAUCGAUAUCUUGAACGCAUAUUGCGGUUACGGUUCGCUUCCGUGACCACGCCUGUCUGAGGGUCGGUUUACAUAUGUUUA